This 253-nucleotide ribosomal RNA is filed under the name uncultured bacterium. Its description in RNAcentral is "partial 16S ribosomal RNA". It matches the Rfam family "Bacterial small subunit ribosomal RNA", at positions 524 to 776 of the family's 1533-position model. The record is from RNAcentral.
GACGUAGGAGGCGAGCGUUGUCCGGAUUCAUUGGGCGUAAAGAGCGCGCAGGCGGCUUGGUAAGUCGGAUGUGAAAACCCGAGGCUCAACCUCGGGCGUGCAUCCGAUACUGCUCGGCUAGAGGUAGGUAGGGGAGAUCGGAAUUCCUGGUGUAGCGGUGAAAUGCGCAGAUAUCAGGAGGAACACCGGUGGCGAAGGCGGAUCUCUGGGCCUUACCUGACGCUCAGGCGCGAAAGCUAGGGGAGCAAACGGG